GGCUGUGGGUUCGGCCUAAGAUCCUUGGAACAGGACGUCAUAGAGGGUGAGAAUCCCGUAUGUGGCCCGAGGCCUGCGCCCGUGUAAAGCUCUUUCGACGAGUCGAGUUGUUUGGGAAUGCAGCUCAAAAUGGGUGGUAAAUUUCAUCUAAAGCUAAAUAUGGGCCAGAGACCGAUAGCGCACAAGUAGAGUGAUCGAAAGAUGAAAAGCACUUUGGAAAGAGAGUUAAACAGUACGUGAAAUUGUUGAAAGGGAAGCGCUUGCACCCAGACUUGGGCGCUGCUGAUCAUCCAGAGUUCUCUCUGGUGCACUCGACAGCGCACAGGCCAGCAUCGGUUCGGGUGGCUGGAGAAAGACUGGAGGAACGUAGCUCCCUUUCGGGGGAGUGUUAUAGCCUCUGGUGCCAUGCAGCCCAGCCGGACCGAGGACCGCGCCUUCGGGCUAGGAUGCUGGCGUAAUGGGUGUAAGCGACCCGUCUUGAAACACGGACCAAGGAGUCUAACAUCUAUGCGAGUGUUUGGGCGUAAAACCCAUACGCGGAAUGAAAGUGAACGUAGGUGAGAACCCUUUGGGGUGCAUCAUCGACCGAUCCUGAUGUCUUCGGAUGGAUUUGAGUAAGAGCAUAGCUGUUGGGACCCGAAAGAUGGUGAACUAUGCCUGAAUAGGGUGAAGCCAGAGGAAACUCUGGUGGAGGCUCGCAGCGGUUCUGACGUGCAAAUCGAUCGUCAAAUUUGGGUAUAGGGGCGAAAGACUAAUCGA
RNAcentral lists this ribosomal RNA (759 nucleotides) under Erysiphe kenjiana. RNAcentral's name for it is "eukaryotic LSU rRNA". It matches the Rfam family "Eukaryotic large subunit ribosomal RNA", at positions 166 to 938 of the family's 3401-position model. Lineage: Eukaryota; Fungi; Ascomycota; Leotiomycetes; Helotiales; Erysiphaceae. The record is from RNAcentral.